GACGAACGCUGGCGGCGCGCCUAACACAUGCAAGUCGAACGAGAGAUGAGGAGCUUUGCUCUUCAAAUCGAGUGGCGAACGGGUGAGUAACGCGUGAGGAACCUGCCUCAAAGAGGGGGACAACAGUUGGAAACGACUGCUAAUACCGCAUAAGCCCACGGCUCGGCAUCGAGCAGAGGGAAAAGGAGCAAUCCGCUUUGAGAUGGCCUCGCGUCCGAUUAGCUAGUUGGUGAGGUAACGGCCCACCAAGGCGACGAUCGGUAGCCGGACUGAGAGGUUGAACGGCCACAUUGGGACUGAGACACGGCCCAGACUCCUACGGGAGGCAGCAGUGGGGAAUAUUGCACAAUGGGGGAAACCCUGAUGCAGCGACGCCGCGUGGAGGAAGAAGGUCUUCGGAUUGUAAACUCCUGUUGUUGAGGAAGAUAAUGACGGUACUCAACAAGGAAGUGACGGCUAACUACGUGCCAGCAGCCGCGGUAAAACGUAGGUCACAAGCGUUGUCCGGAAUUACUGGGUGUAAAGGGAGCGCAGGCGGGAGAACAAGUUGGAAGUGAAAUCCAUGGGCUCAACCCAUGAACUGCUUUCAAAACUGUUUUUCUUGAGUAGUGCAGAGGUAGGCGGAAUUCCCGGUGUAGCGGUGGAAUGCGUAGAUAUCGGGAGGAACACCAGUGGCGAAGGCGGCCUACUGGGCACCAACUGACGCUGAGGCUCGAAAGUGUGGGUAGCAAACAGGAUUAGAUACCCUGGUAGUCCACACCGUAAACGAUGAUUACUAGGUGUUGGAGGAUUGACCCCUUCAGUGCCGCAGUUAACACAAUAAGUAAUCCACCUGGGGAGUACGACCGCAAGGUUGAAACUCAAAGGAAUUGACGGGGGCCCGCACAAGCAGUGGAGUAUGUGGUUUAAUUCGACGCAACGCGAAGAACCUUACCAAGUCUUGACAUCCCUUGACGAUGCUGGAAACAGUAUUUCUCUUCGGAGCAAGGAGACAGGUGGUGCAUGGUUGUCGUCAGCUCGUGUCGUGAGAUGUUGGGUUAAGUCCCGCAACGAGCGCAACCCUUAUGGUCAGUUACUACGCAAGAGGACUCUGGCCAGACUGCCGUUGACAAAACGGAGGAAGGUGGGGAUGACGUCAAAUCAUCAUGCCCUUUAUGACUUGGGCUACACACGUACUACAAUGGCGUUAAACAAAGAGAAGCAAGACCGCGAGGUGGAGCAAAACUCAGAAACAACGUCCCAGUUCGGACUGCAGGCUGCAACUCGCCUGCACGAAGUCGGAAUUGCUAGUAAUCGUGGAUCAGCAUGCCACGGUGAAUACGUUCCCGGGCCU
RNAcentral lists this ribosomal RNA (1333 nucleotides) under uncultured bacterium. RNAcentral describes it as "bacterial SSU rRNA". It matches the Rfam family "Bacterial small subunit ribosomal RNA", at positions 28 to 1381 of the family's 1533-position model. The record is from RNAcentral.